Molecule: ribosomal RNA, 139 nt
Filed under: uncultured eukaryote
Lineage: Eukaryota
Description: partial 18S ribosomal RNA
Rfam family: Eukaryotic small subunit ribosomal RNA
Source: RNAcentral
UGGUGGAGUGAUUUGUCUGGUUAAUUCCGUUAACGAACGAGACCUCAGCCUGCUAAAUAGUCACACGAUUUCUGAAAUCGUGGCGGACUUCUUAGAGGGACUAUGUGCGAUUAGCACAUGGAAGUUUGAGGCAAUAACA